GAACAGCCUUUCUCAACAACCGGAACGUCAAAACACCAUCUGUUGUCCAUGCAGACACCUCAUCCUCUGUUUGUCCCUGAGGUGGGCGUGCGGUUGCCACGGUGCACCGAGUGUGUGCAGCUGCAGAGCCGAAUCCAGCGGACUGUCCCAGGACCAGGUUUAAGACAAAAUAAGAGCACAGCUGAUCUCAUGCUGGUGGUAGUCUGGUUAGA
This is a long non-coding RNA of Thalassophryne amazonica, 212 nucleotides long. RefSeq lists it as uncharacterized. NCBI's taxonomy places the organism in Eukaryota, Metazoa, Chordata, Actinopteri, Batrachoidiformes, Batrachoididae. The transcript has 3 exons. The record is from RefSeq and is a predicted model, not a curated record.